RNAcentral lists this ribosomal RNA (843 nucleotides) under uncultured bacterium. RNAcentral's name for it is "bacterial SSU rRNA". It matches the Rfam family "Bacterial small subunit ribosomal RNA", at positions 58 to 916 of the family's 1533-position model. The record is from RNAcentral.
CAAGUCGAGCGAUGAAACUACUUCGGUAGUGAAUUAGCGGCGAACGGGUGAGGAACACGUGAGGAAUCUGCCUUCAACACUGGGAUAACUCCGGGAAACCGGGGCUAAUACCGGAUACGAGCCUUGAUCGCAUGAUCGAGGCUGGAAAGUUUUUCGGUUGAAGAUGACCUCGCGGCCUAUCAGCUUGUUGGUGAGGUAAUGGCUCACCAAGGCGACGACGGGUAGCCGGCCUGAGAGGGCGACCGGCCACACUGGGACUGAGACACGGCCCAGACUCCUACGGGAGGCAGCAGUGGGGAAUAUUGGGCAAUGGAGGAAACUCUGACCCAGCGACGCCGCGUGCGGGAUGAAGGCCUUCGGGUUGUAAACCGCUUUCAGUAGGGAAGAAGCGAAAGUGACGGUACCUACAGAAGAAGCACCGGCUAACUAUGUGCCAGCAGCCGCGGUAAUACAUAGGGUGCAAGCGUUGUCCGGAAUUAUUGGGCGUAAAGAGCUCGUAGGUGGUUUGAUACGUCGGGUGUGAAAUUCAGGGGCUCAACCCCUGACCUGCAUUCGAUACGGUCAAGCUAGAGUUUGGUAGGGGAGACUGGAAUUCCUGGUGUAGCGGUGGAAUGCGCAGAUAUCAGGAGGAACACCGAUGGCGAAGGCAGGUCUCUGGGCCAAUACUGACACUGAGGAGCGAAAGCGUGGGGAGCGAACAGGAUUAGAUACCCUGGUAGUCCACGCCGUAAACGGUGGGCGCUAGUUGUGCGAACCUUCCACGGUUUGUGCGACGCAGCUAACGCAUUAAGCGCCCCGCCUGGGGAGUACGAUCGCAAGAUUAAAACUCAAAGGAAUUGACGG